UACAGAGGGUGCAAGCGUUAAUCGGAAUUACUGGGCGUAAAGCGUGCGUAGACGGUUAUGUAAGUCGGGUGUGAAAGCCCCGGGCUCAACCUGGGAAUUGCAUUCGAGACUGCAUAGCUAGGGUGCGGAAGAGGGAAGCGGAAUUUCCGGUGUAGCGGUGAAAUGCGUAGAUAUCGGAAGGAACACCAGUGGCGAAGGCGGCUCACUGGCCCGGUACUGACGCUGAGGUGCGAAAGCGUGGGGAGCAAACAGG
This 253-nucleotide ribosomal RNA is filed under the name uncultured bacterium. Its description in RNAcentral is "partial 16S ribosomal RNA". It matches the Rfam family "Bacterial small subunit ribosomal RNA", at positions 524 to 776 of the family's 1533-position model. The record is from RNAcentral.